UCACUGGCAAAGUGUCUCUCAUUUCCCUCUAGUCUGAUGAAAGAUGGUAAGGAGGAAGAAAGAAGAAGAGACAAGAUAAAGCAAGAAAGGAGAACAAGCAGAAGAAGAGGGACAAAGGAGCUAGAGUGUCAUCCAGCUCUAGUUCCCAGAAUUCAGGACCUUCAGUUGUCUCUCUCUACUGGCCUUUGGGAUGGGAGUGAGACCCUUAGGAAUGUGGUCUUCUACCAGAGUAUCUUAUGUCCAUGGGCUUGACCCCUAGGUAUUCUCAAUGUUAACUCCUCCUCUUCUAGGAGUCCUAGGUGAAGCUCAUGGUCAGCCCUGCUCUCCCAGGCCACCAGUUUCACUGUUGUACUACUGAGCAUGAUGGAGCCUUUUAUCUUCUACUACUUGUUUUUCCUUCCAAUUAGUGCUCUUUUCCCUAUUCCCAGCAAGUCUCAUGCCAAGGAACUGGUUGAGGGAAGUACACAGAGUAGGGGGCACUCGUUUAUCUGAUAUGCCUGCAGUGACUCCGAAUUAUUUGCCUCUUUACUUCCUAAUAGGUAGAGACAUAACACAGUCUAUGGAGAAUGUGUUUUUGUUUCAGGAAGAGGAAGAAGUGAUCUCAGACAACACCUUAUCAACUGGUAAACUAUUACAAAUUUAGAUGGGCAAAAUAUAAACAUUCAGAUUCCAAUUUGGAGAGAAUACUGGGAUGCAUCUCUUCUGAAACAUGCAAUUAGCUCUUUAUUGACCAUAAGUGAUCAAACUUGUUUGUUUAUCCAUCUGAAUGAUAAGAAGUCGACUGCUGUGUUUCUUGAACAUUUAUGUUAUCAGUUAAGGAAAGAAAUUUUUCCACAGCAUUCUGUAUCAAUGUCUCAGAGAAGAACAGAUAUCCAAAGAAAGUGCUUUUUCAUAAGAGACACUUACAUACCGGAUUCAUGUAUGGUGCCACAGGGAUCUUCACACCAUGACUGUUCUCUGCUUCCACUGGAAGUGCAUAAUUGAGAUGGAGGUACAGAUUCCUUUAAAAAAAAAAAAAAAGAUAUAUUAACAACCUCCAGAACAGUGAACCCAUUUAGAUAGUCUUCAUCAUAAAUGAACAUUUACAUGUUUAUUAAAAACUAGAAAUAUAAAUAUCAAAAUACUAAGGUACAGUUACGACGAAGAAAUCAGUCUGCACAUGCCAGUUUUGUACUUUGGUUCGGUGGCAAA
Long non-coding RNA from Mauremys mutica (yellowpond turtle), 1191 nucleotides. RefSeq lists it as uncharacterized. The record is from RefSeq and is a predicted model, not a curated record. The transcript has 3 exons. NCBI's taxonomy places the organism in Eukaryota, Metazoa, Chordata, Testudines, Geoemydidae.